RNAcentral lists this ribosomal RNA (403 nucleotides) under bacterium. RNAcentral's name for it is "partial 16S ribosomal RNA". It matches the Rfam family "Bacterial small subunit ribosomal RNA", at positions 355 to 776 of the family's 1533-position model. The record is from RNAcentral.
UGGGGAAUAUUGCACAAUGGAGGGAACUCUGAUGCAGCGACGCCGCGUGAACGAAGAAGGCUUUCGAGUCGUAAAGUUCUUUUAUAUGGGAAGAUAAUGACGGUACCAUAAGAAGAAGCCCCGGCUAACUACGUGCCAGCAGCCGCGGUAAUACGUAGGGGGCUAGCGUUGUCCGGAAUCACUGGGCGUAAAGGGUUCGCAGGCGGAAAUGCAAGUCAGGUGUAAAAGGCAGUAGCUUAACUACUGUAAGCAUUUGAAACUGCAUAUCUUGAGAAGAGUAGAGGUAAGUGGAAUUUUUGGUGUAGCGGUGAAAUGCGUAGAUAUUAAAAAGAAUACCGGUGGCGAAGGCGACUUACUGGGCUCAUUCUGACGCUGAGGAACGAAAGCGUGGGUAGCAAACAGG